GCAGCUGCGCGCGCUCCCGCGGACGCUAAUCACGAGCACUGUCCAGCACAACACCCGGAGCUCAGGGGGCAAAACACUCGCAUGAGUGCUGCUGUUUGACUGAGGAAGAAUAAAGUAGUCGUGUUUCCCAGCAUGCCUCAGCUGUGGAGUCGUAUGUUGAGUACUCAUUUACCCUGCUGCCCUGUCAGUUCCGCACAGAGAGAUUGUUUGGCCCCUCAGUGGUGUGGAGUCGCUCUGACCUCAGUCCUCCAACCGUCCACCAGCGGCAGCGUCAAGGAGACGAAUUGAAAGAUCAAAACCAGCGUUACAGCGG
This is a long non-coding RNA of Oreochromis aureus, 313 nucleotides long. NCBI's taxonomy places the organism in Eukaryota, Metazoa, Chordata, Actinopteri, Cichliformes, Cichlidae. The record is from Ensembl.